UAGAGUCUCACUUAUCCAAGCUAGGAAAGGCCAGACGGGCGAGCGGGAAUAGCGUGGGAAGCGGGGCCAUCUCUGGCCCCCCCGCCCAGCGUGCCCUGGCCCUCCCACGCAAUCGCGGCCUGCAGGGACCUCCGCUGCAGUCUGGCUACAUUGAAACUAGAAUAGACUACAUUGAAACUAGAAUAGAGAAAAAUCAGCGUGGAAACUGCAAGAGGUGCCAUAGAUUGUUGUACAUGGGAAUAAUGGUUGUAAAUAGUUUUUGAUUUAUUAAAUACAGUUAUAUAUUACAAUUAUACAUUUUUGCUAUUUAAACUAUACAUAUUAGGGAAAAUUUUUCUUGAAGUGACACACCACCCAAGUCAUGCUAGGUUUUUUGGUGAAUUUUGACACAUCAAGUGCAAAAGGUUACCCGUCAUUGUAUUAGAUUAUAUGGCAGUGUAGAUUUAGGGCCCUUCCACACUGCAAUGUAAUUGUUUUACACCCUUUAUUCCAGGAUCUGAUCCUAGAUUAUUUGCUUUAAACUGGAAGAUACGAGUCCCCACUACCAGAUAACCUGGGACAAACAGAUAAUCUGGGGUCAAAUCCUGGGAUAAAGGGGCGGUGUGGAAGGGCCCCUAUAUAAUCCAGUUCAAAGCAGACAACAUGGAUUAUAUUGCAGUGUAGAUCCAGCCUUAGUCUCAAAGGUGCUAAAGGUACAAGAUCCCUUUACAGACUCAUUUUCCAGACUGACAGGAUUGUGUCUUCUAAUUCGUUGGGUGGAUAGAGUAGGGGGAAGUUAAAUGCAUCUUUUGGCAUGCAUCUGUUCUGUAUUGUGAAAUUAAUGCAGUUUGGCACUGCUUUAACUACCAUGGAUGGAUGCUAUGGAAUCCAGAGAGCUGUUUAGUGAAGCGCCAGACUCUUUGGCAGAGAAAGCCAAAGCACUUAUGCAAAACUAAGCCUCCCAUGAUUCCAUAGCAUUCACCUAUGGCAGUUAAAGUGGCGUCAAACUGCAUUAACUUUACACUGCAGGUGCAUCCUUAUUCUGCCUUGAGGCCCAGGCUGUGCCUUACAAAUGAAUGCACCUGGAGUGAGAGAAGAAUCAGUGGGUAUUGCUUCAUAGUAGAUUUGGGUAUGAUCAAGUAGUGGUGAAACGGGCAGUAGGCUCCUCCAGGACCAGUGGAUUUACUUCCAUGCAAACGUGGAUAGGAUAUAGAGAUCUACCCUUGGAAGGUGUGAAGUGUGGGUGCCUCCUGGGAAGGGUUGGAGGAAAAUAGGAGUGACUAGCAAGCUAUGGAGAUCUGCCAAUUGCAGUGGGCUAUUACUAUCUCUGGGGUUUUAUUCCAGAACCUCCAUGUAUACAAAAAUCUAUGGAUAUGGAAACCUCAUAAUAUACAUAGUAAAAUAGUGUCCCUUAUAUAAAAUGGUAAAAUCAAGAUUUGCUUUUUGGAAUUAAAAAAAUAUUUUCAAGCCAUGAAUGGUUGAAUCCAUGGAUAUGGAGGGCUGACUACAAUAUUUGUUGCCAACAAUUACAGGUGACUGAUAUCAGGUAAUGUAGAUAGAGCAUUUUUCAUAUUUAAAACAAGAAAGCAUUUUUUCUGUCGUCCAGUUUUUCUCUCAUUUGCUGAAUACCUAUCCAUCAUGCAACUAUAAAAACACAACAGAGAUCUUCUCUACAAAAAUUUAAAAUUGCAAUCUGUAUUGAUGUAAUAGAAAGCUGUAAACAGACAGUAAUGUACUCUACAUUAAAUAAGAUUUUUAAAAUUAAUUAUAAUUUGCACAAUUAAAACUUGUGCGCUAACUGCGACCGUACCUCGUGAAGUCUGACUUGGCCACGAUGGUCCAUACCUUAGUUACCUCCAGGAUGGAUUAUUGGCUGCCGUUCACUUUCCGGUCCCAAUUCAGGAUGCAGGUAAUCACCUACAAAGCCCUGAACGGUUUGGGACCCGUCUACCUUUCCCCCAUGAGCCUCGAUCUUCUGGGGAGGCUCUCUUCUCGUUCCCACCUCUAUCACAGGCUCGACUUGUUGGAACAAGGGAGAGAGCCUUCUCUGUGGUGGCCCCUCGAAUUUGGAAUUCCCUCCCUAGGGAGAUAAGACUGGCCCCAACCCUGUCUGCCUUUAUUAAACAGCUUAAAACAUGGUUCUUCCAGUAUGCAUUUGAACAACCAGUGACAUGACAGACCCCUCUCAUUGACAUAUUGUUUCCUCGCACUUUAUUUUCCUUCCUAUCCAUCCUACCCCAUCCUCUCCCUUUGGGGAGAAGGUGGCGGGAUAGAAAAUAAAGUAUUAUUAUUAUUAUUAUUAUUAUUCAUUCCAGGAGCACUGUCCCCAAAUUCUCUGAUCUCAUACCUAGAUAUUGGAUUGGUGGUUCAUACUCACCUUUUUCAGUACACCUUUUGAGUCUAAAGUGGGAUAUAAAUAAACAUAAUAAUAUAAUAAAGAUAAUUCAGCCUCUCUGUGAGGUUGCCUAUUGAAAAUUGAUGGUUAAAUAAUUCUGUCAGACAUUGCGAAGUUUAAUUUAAGCAGAACAGCUCUAUUGAAAUGACACAUAACUAGACAAGGGUAGGAUAAUACUCUGUAAAAUGGUUAAGCUGGGACUGCAGGCCUUGAAAAGACUUGGCCCUAGUGGCACUCCCCAGCUAACAGGGAAAAGAUGGCCUUGUGGGUUAUAUGCCGUCCCCAUGUUGUCACUCAUUUGCCAACCACCGUAUUUAGCAUUAAAUCGCUCAUUAGGACUUGAAUCUGAGUAAAUAGGUCAAAAAGCAGACUGAAAACCUUGCUAGGUGAGUCUUUGUGUAAUUUAAAGGUAGAGACUGAAGGAAAGGAUUGACUUAAAUAAGAUUUGGGGGGAAAUGAAUAGGCUUGCCUUUUCAAGGGCUUGAUAAUAAGGAUUAUACUUAUGUGGAAUUCAUUCCUGCUGCUGUUAAAAAAUACAGGGUGGACACUGUGCUGAGAAAGACCACUAAGAAUAUAGGUUAGUGGGUAACAGAGCUGUCAGGUUAGAAAGGCUCCCUUAUUGGGAACUGGAUGUUUAAGUCCUGUUUGCCACAUUUAAUUCUGAUUAGGAUAUUUUAAUGCUGGAUAUUUGGACAAUCACAGAUAAAUCCUUUUGAACACUAAAAUGCAGUUUAUAAGGCAAAGUUGAUUGUAUGUGUAUACAUAGUUGAUUAUAAGGCAGGUGUCAGGUUACUGUACUGCUACUAAGGGAUGGCUUGGCUGUGGAUCAGGCCCCUGGUAUGAAUGCCUGAUCACCAUCUCCCAAAGUAGUUAGUAUACUCCCAACUCAAGAACGGGAAACGUAAUGUUGAUGGACAGGAAAAGAGAUUUAAAGAUGGGCUCAAAGCCAACUUAAAACUCUGGCAUAGACACAGAGAACUGGGAAGCCCUGGCCCUUGAGCACUCUAAUUGAAGGUCAGCUGUUCCCAAUAGUGCUGCAGAAUUUAAAGAGGCACAAAUGGAGGGCUUAAGGAAGAAACGUGGCAAAAGGAAGGCAUGUCAAGCCAACCCUGACCAGAACUGUCUUCCAUCUGGAAACCGAUGUCUUCUCUGUGGGAGGACAUGCGGGUCAAGAAUAGGCUCCACAGCCUAGACACUACACUUGGAGGACCAUCAUCCUCGAGCUACGAGGGAUCACCUACGUCAGUGUGGUCCAACCUUUAGUUACCCGAGGGCCAAUCAAACUUUAGUAUAGGAAUGUGAGGGCCAGCAACAUUACAGAAAGAAAACAAUUUACAUAAUAUUCAGUUACAUAAUUAAAAUAUUAAUAUUUAAUUACAUCAUUAAAAUAUUUUUCCAGUAAGAAGAGCAAAGGCCAACAAAAAUGAACUGGUUGGCCACAUGCGGCCUGUGGGCCAGACCACACUGACCUAAGUAAUGUAACCUACUUCCAAUCAUACUCAGACUACAGUAGAAUCAACAGACAAGGUUGUUUACACAUUUUAGUUUAUGCUAUUUUUAACACAACACAUAAUUAUCAGCAUUGUCAAGAAUAUGUUCAACCUCCAUAUUUUCUGCAUUAUACAUAAAGGAAUUUAGGAGUUAACAUACAGUGAAUUUAUGCAAUCCUAUCAAUAGAUUUUCAAACUAGCUACCACAUUGUACCUCUUAUUCACAGCAUAGAAAGUAAGACAUUUUCUAUCUGGAUCCUAUACUGUGAGAGCACAGGAUCUUUAGUGUGUUGUGUGUGUGCUGUAAAUAGUGUAAUGCAAGAUCGUGUUUCAUAUCUUUGCUCAUUCAUAAACUUGUUUUGCUGCUUAUAACUGUAAUCAAUACCCUAAUGAGGCAAACAUUUAGAGCAGAUGGACUGUGACAGUAUUAGUUUUGUGGUCUGGAUCCUUAAAGGGAACAAAGAUUGUAACAUGAGGUGCUUCUCAUUUUGCACGCCUUAACAUGGUAAGUACAUUGUUACUUAAGCUUAUUAAUGCCCUUUUUAAAAAAAUAAUUUACUUGCCUCCUAACAAACAUUUCUGUCUCCAUUAACACUUCAGAAUGGCAGGCUUUGAUGCUGUACUUUAUUUUGAGAAUAGUUUAUCUGAUCAAAAAAUUUUAUCUCUAGUUUCACUAUCUAAUGUGUAUGGGAGGGGAAUAAUGCAGCCCUUUCAUUGUGGUUGGAUUGCAAAUAUGAACAUUGUCUGUCUGGGUGUGAUUUCCUUAACAGCAGUUCAAUAAGUUUUUGUGAAUGUUUACCCUGAACUGGUAAGGUGCACAUGUAGAAAUAGGUCAUGUAAGCCUAGCACUGAGUCCCCUAGGAGAGAUAGGGCGGAAUACAAAUAUAAUUGUUUAUUAUUAUUAGCGUAAGUAUACAAAACAUUUUGAACCAUGUGGAGAUAACAUAAAAGCUUCUUCUAAACUGCCUACAGGGAUGGCUUUUUGUUUCACGUUUUUUCUUGUGAAUUCCAUUUCAUCUGAUGUCUGAUUUUUUAAACAUCCUGGAUUCGGCUAGGGAGGCAGGCUUCUUUGUUGCUGUUCAUUCAUACAAAGCUAAGGGACUCUGGAGGCAGGUGCUGCUGAACCUGACUAUUGUAGGCAGAUACACACACCUACAAUAGUAUCAUCUAGAAUAGAACCCUACUCUUUCCCACCUCAAGCUUUAUCGCAGUGUUUACUGCAGACAAACUGCUGCAAUCCAAUACUGGAAGUCUAUGUUUCUAGGGCCUUUCUUUGUCUUCCUCUCAAUGCAGAUUUUGGUUUAAAAAUAUCCAGCUGAAUGAAGAUGAAAUGGACAAUAAAAACAUUGUUAAAAGUACUUUUUUGCCGAAAGGUUUUGUCAAGUAAGGAAAGGCCCAUAGUUUUAGCUAAUUCUAUGGCUAAUUUUGUUUUAUAAGCUGCUAACCCGUUCCCAACAACAUUCUGCUUGGUUCUUGAAUCAAUAUGCUUAACUGGAAAAAGAAGUUGAUUACAUUGUUUUUCUUGGUUCACCACUUUACAGAUGUUCGUAGAAAUACCUUUUGUCAUUAUGGUGGAAUAAACACAAUGGAGAAAUCCAGGAUGGGACAAUAGCAAGUACCAAAAUACUGGUGCCCUUUUUGAUUAUGAUCUUAGUCUGUGUGAAAAUGCAUAUUUUCUGUUUUCUAGUCUUAAAACAUUUUAAAAUCUGAACCAUCUGCAAGCUUGGAAAUAGGGCACAACACUUCUGCCAGAAGUGUUGGAUUUCAGCUGACACCAAAGGCUCAGAGGGGAACUGAAGAAGCAUGACCUUUACUGUAAUUGGAGGUAUAUUUUGAUUGAUGAAUAUUUGGCUCAGAAUUCAAGCCAUUCUCAGUGCCAUCUAUACCUGGCAAUUUUAAUAGUAUUAAACACUUGACGGUUGUUUUGUAAUUUAGACCUCCUCUAUGGAGAUAACUGAUCUCAUUGCCAUUUAAAAAGGUAACUUUUUAAAAUGUUUCAAAUUCCACAAAAACAUAGGGGGGUCCAUAAAAAUUAAGAAGAUGAAGUCAGACAGGGUUUGCUCUUCUCAAUCUAAUAACAUAUAGUUAGAAGUGGAGAAAUUGUAGAUUAGAGUUGAAGACAUGAGGCUUUUAAAAACUCUCUCCUAUUGGCACUAGAAAGAAGAAAUUCAGAUGGAAAGCUCUUUCCAUGCUCCAGAAACUUCACCCCAAUACAUAAUAAAGUAGUCGUAGCCCCAGGGCAACAGAGAUUUUCACCACUGAAUAAUACAGAAGACCUCAAAUACCAUCACAAAGAUGUGUCCAAAGUUGACUGGAGCUCUGAGGUAUAACUUGUAGGGAUUCUAAACUGACUGCAACAUUCACUUCUGUUGCCAGAUUGGGCCCUAUGUUGGAAAGUAAGAUAAAUAAAUAUUUUUGUUGCAGCUUCUGUCAUGUCCAGUGAUUCUCAACCUGUGGAUCCCCAGAUGUUUUGGCCUUCAACUCCGAGAAAUCCUAACAGCUGGUAAACUGGCUGGGAUUUCUGGGAGUUGUGGGCCAAAACACCUGGGGACCCACUGGUAGAGAACCACUGUCUUGUAAUGUCGCUGUAAUUUGUUCAUAAAAUCAUUUAUUGUUGUGGCAUAUAAUUUAGGUCCAGUAAUCAGAAAUUCUUACCUGUUUGCCUGCUUAAAUAACCCUUGAAUGUGAAUCUACUACAGUAGAGUCUCACUUAUCCAAGCCUCGCUUAUCCAAGCUUCUGGAUAAUCCAAGCCAUUUUUGUAGUCAAUGUUUUCAAUAUAUCAUGAUAUUUUGGUGCUAAAUUUGUAAAUACAGUAAUUCCAACAUAGCAUUACUGCAUAUUGAACUAUUUUUUCUGUCAAAUUUGUUGUAUAACAUGAUGUUUUGGUGCUUAAUUUGUAAAAUCAUAACCUAAUUUGAUGUUUAAUAGGCUUUUCCUUAACCCCUCCUUAUUAUCCAAGAUAUUUGCUUAUCCAAGCUUCUGUCAGCCCGUUUAACUUGGAUAAGUGAGACUCUACUGUACUUAAUAUAUGGUGACCAGUGAUGAUGAUCAAUGAUGUUAGCUUUCCACGAUUAAUGGCUUAUUUCUUCUCAAAGCAUUUCAGCAAAGUUAGUGACAUUCUGUUGGUGAAUGUGAUAACUGCUAGAGUCAGUUAUAAAAUUACCAGGCCUUACAGAAUCAAAUAGCAACAAAAGUCCAAAAUCAUAACCUGAGGAGCCAGUAAACAGGAUAUUUCAAACUGCUAUUAAAUUUAUUAUAGGCGAUGAAGGCUUUGUUUGAUGUAUAUGCUGUCUUUCUCCCAGAGUGGAAUGCCAAGGUGGCUUACAGAAGGCUAAAACAAGAUGGAAUCUAUCUGCCUUCACAAUGUGGUACAUUGUUAGAGGGGUCCAAUUUAUAGGCCACUCAAGUUCAUUGGAAUCUGCUUUGCUAAAUCCCAGUGGGCCAUGGAUCAAACUCAACGUGAAGGAGUUUCUGCAAUGACGCGGAAGAAGCUUAAUUGUCCUUGGCACAAAACCUGACUUGCCUGGUGUGUUUCUUGGCUUACUUUGAGUGGACAAGAGCGUCAAAACAUGAGCAAGAGCUACUGACUUCAUUCACUAGAGAAUUAACCUUCGUUGCCCCACCUCAUCUCCCUCCUCAAUACAUGCAUGACGGCGCUGAACUCUUGCUAUGCAAUUCAUUACAGCAGCAAAAGGAAACACAAGAUUCCCAGUCUGACAUUUUUCCAUACCUUUCAUAUAUAACAUUUUCUUUCAUUUUUUUCAGUAUCAUUGGUGAUAUACCAGUUCUCUAUCGUAAGAAAACCAAUAAAAAUAGUGACAGUAA
This is a long non-coding RNA of Anolis carolinensis (green anole), 7690 nucleotides long. RefSeq lists it as uncharacterized. Lineage: Eukaryota; Metazoa; Chordata; Lepidosauria; Squamata; Anolidae. The record is from RefSeq and is a predicted model, not a curated record. The transcript is spliced from 2 exons.